This 253-nucleotide ribosomal RNA is filed under the name uncultured bacterium. RNAcentral describes it as "partial 16S ribosomal RNA". It matches the Rfam family "Bacterial small subunit ribosomal RNA", at positions 524 to 776 of the family's 1533-position model. The record is from RNAcentral.
UACAGAGGUCUCAAGCGUUGUUCGGAUUCAUUGGGCGUAAAGGGUGCGUAGGUGGCGCUGUAAGUCGGGUGUGAAAUUUCGGAGCUUAACUCCGAAACUGCAUUCGAUACUGCGGUGCUUGAGGACUGGAGAGGAGACCGGAAUUCAUGGUGUAGCAGUGAAAUGCGUAGAGAUCAUGAGGAAGACCAGUGGCGAAGGCGGGUCUCUGGACAGUUCCUGACACUGAGGCACGAAGGCCAGGGGAGCAAACGGG